UACGGGGGAUGCAAGCGUUAUCCGGAAUGAUUGGGCGUAAAGCGUCCGCAGGUGGCAAUGUAAGUCUGCUGUUAAAGAGUCUAGCUCAACUAGAUACAAGCAGUGGAAACUACAUAGCUAGAGUACGUUCGGGGCAGAGGGAAUUCCUGGUGUAGCGGUGAAAUGCGUAGAGAUCAGGAAGAACACCGGUGGCGAAGGCGCUCUGCUAGGCCGUAACUGACACUGAGGGACGAAAGCUAGGGGAGCGAAUGGG
RNAcentral lists this ribosomal RNA (253 nucleotides) under uncultured bacterium. RNAcentral's name for it is "partial 16S ribosomal RNA". It matches the Rfam family "Bacterial small subunit ribosomal RNA", at positions 524 to 776 of the family's 1533-position model. The record is from RNAcentral.